This 426-nucleotide ribosomal RNA is filed under the name uncultured bacterium. RNAcentral describes it as "bacterial SSU rRNA". It matches the Rfam family "Bacterial small subunit ribosomal RNA", at positions 354 to 796 of the family's 1533-position model. The record is from RNAcentral.
GUGAGGAAUUUUCGGCAAUGGGGGCAACCCUGACCGAGCAACGCCGCGUGCAGGAGGACGGUCUUCGGAUUGUAAACUGCUUUUCCCAGGGACGAGCAAGGACGGUACCUGGGGAAUAAGCCCCGGCUAACUACGUGCCAGCAGCCGCGGUAAUACGUAGGGGACGAGCGUUGUCCGGAGUUACUGGGCGUAAAGCGCCCGCAGGCGGUCUUCUAAGUUUGAGGUGACAGCGCCCGGCUUAACCGGGCGAGUGGCUCAAAGACUGGGGGACUGGAGGGCCAGAGAGGGACACGGAAUUCCGGGUGUAGUGGUGAAAUGCGUAGAUAUCCGGAGGAACACCGAAGGCGCAGGCAGUGUCCUGGCUGGUACCUGACGCUCGGGGGCGAAAGCUAGGGGAGCGAACGGGAUUAGAUACCCCGGUAGUCC